Molecule: ribosomal RNA, 117 nt
Filed under: Chinchilla lanigera (long-tailed chinchilla)
Lineage: Eukaryota; Metazoa; Chordata; Mammalia; Rodentia; Chinchillidae
Source: RNAcentral
GUCUACAGCCAUACCACCCUGAACGUGCCCGAUCUCGUCUGAUCUCGGAAGCUAAGCAGGGUCGGGCCUGGUUAGUACUUGGGUGGGAGACUAUUUGGGGAACAGGGGUUGUAGCUC